GUACUUGCUCCGGCAGUACAUAUGUUAAAAUUGGAAUGAUACAGAGAAGAUUAGCUUGGCCCCUGGGCAUGGACGACAUCCAAGUUCAUGAAGUGUUCCAUAUUUUU
Small nuclear RNA from Octopus sinensis (East Asian common octopus), 107 nucleotides. The record is from RefSeq and is a predicted model, not a curated record. NCBI's taxonomy places the organism in Eukaryota, Metazoa, Mollusca, Cephalopoda, Octopoda, Octopodidae.